CAGUAGCGUAUAUUAAAGCUGUUGCAGUUAAAAAGCUCGUAGUUGGAUCUUGGGCCCAGGCCUGCGGUCCGCCGUGAGGCGUGUACUGCAGUCCUGGCCUUCCUCUCGGUUUUCGCCCGGUGCCCUUAAUUGAGUGCCAGGAGAGGCCGGAACGUUUACUUUGAAAAAUUGGAGUGUUCAAAGCAGGCCUCGCGCCUGAACAGCAGAGCAUGGAAUAAUGGAAUAGGACCUCGGUUCUAUUGCGUUGGUUUUCGGAACUCGAGGUAAUGAUUAACAGGGACAAUUGGGGGCAUUAGUAUUCAGACGACAGAGGUGAAAUUCUUGGACCGUCUGAAGACUGACUACUGCGAAAGCAUUUGCCAAGAGUGUUUUCAUUAAUCAAGAACGAAAGUUAGAGGUUCGAAGAUGAUCAGAUACCAU
Molecule: ribosomal RNA, 420 nt
Filed under: uncultured eukaryote
Lineage: Eukaryota
Description: bacterial SSU rRNA
Rfam family: Eukaryotic small subunit ribosomal RNA
Source: RNAcentral